This 65-nucleotide transfer RNA is filed under the name Coleoptera sp. 2 KM-2017. RNAcentral describes it as "tRNA-Ala". Lineage: Eukaryota; Metazoa; Arthropoda; Insecta; Coleoptera. The record is from RNAcentral.
AGGAUAAUAGUUAAUAAUAACAUUUAAGUUGCAUUUAAAAAGUGCUGUAUUCUCAGCUUAUCUUA